RNAcentral lists this ribosomal RNA (253 nucleotides) under uncultured bacterium. RNAcentral's name for it is "partial 16S ribosomal RNA". It matches the Rfam family "Bacterial small subunit ribosomal RNA", at positions 524 to 776 of the family's 1533-position model. The record is from RNAcentral.
UACGGAGGGUGCAAGCGUUGUCCGGAUUCAUUGGGUUUAAAGGGUGCGCAGGCGGGACAUUAAGUCAGGGGUGAAAGACGGUUGCUCAACAAUCGCAGUGCCUUUGAUACUGGUGUUCUUGGGUAACCUUGAGGUAGGCGGAAUGGGUGGUGUAGCGGUGAAAUGCAUAGAUACCACCCAGAACUCCGAUUGCGAAGGCAGCCUACUGGGCCAACACUGACGCUCAUGCACGAAAGCGUGGGGAGCAAACAGG